Molecule: ribosomal RNA, 497 nt
Filed under: uncultured bacterium
Lineage: Bacteria
Description: partial 16S ribosomal RNA
Rfam family: Bacterial small subunit ribosomal RNA
Source: RNAcentral
GAUGAACGCUGGCGGCGUGCCUAAUACAUGCAAGUCGAGCGAACGGACGAGAAGCUUGCUUUUCUGAUGUUAGCGGCGGACGGGUGAGUAACACGUGGAUAACCUACCUAUAAGACUGGGAUAACUUCGGGAAACCGGAGCUAAUACCGGAUAAUAUUUUGAACCGCAUGGUUCAAAAGUGAAAGACGGUCUUGCUGUCACUUAUAGAUGGAUCCGCGCUGCAUUAGCUAGUUGGUACGGUAACGGCUUACCAAGGCAACGAUGCAUAGCCGACCUGAGAGGGUGAUCGGCCACACUGGAACUGAGACACGGUCCAGACUCCUACGGGAGGCAGCAGUAGGGAAUCUUCCGCAAUGGGCGAAAGCCUGACGGAGCAACGCCGCGUGAGUGAUGAAGGUCUUCGGAUCGUAAAACUCUGUUAUUAGGGAAGAACAUAUGUGUAAGUAACUGUGCACAUCUUGACGGUACCUAAUCAGAAAGCCACGGCUAACUACGUG